RNAcentral lists this ribosomal RNA (612 nucleotides) under uncultured Alphaproteobacteria bacterium. Its description in RNAcentral is "bacterial SSU rRNA". It matches the Rfam family "Bacterial small subunit ribosomal RNA", at positions 57 to 715 of the family's 1533-position model. The record is from RNAcentral. Lineage: Bacteria; Pseudomonadati; Pseudomonadota; Alphaproteobacteria.
GCAAGUCGAACGAUCCCUUCGGGGAUAGUGGCGCACGGGUGCGUAACGCGUGGGAAUCUGCCCUUGGGUUCGGAAUAACUUCUGGAAACGGAAGCUAAUACCGGAUGAUGACGUAAGUCCAAAGAUUUAUCGCCCAAGGAUGAGCCCGCGUAGGAUUAGCUAGUUGGUGAGGUAAAGGCUCACCAAGGCGACGAUCCUUAGCUGGUCUGAGAGGAUGAUCAGCCACACUGGGACUGAGACACGGCCCAGACUCCUACGGGAGGCAGCAGUAGGGAAUAUUGGACAAUGGGGGAAACCCUGAUCCAGCAAUGCCGCGUGAGUGAUGAAGGCCUUAGGGUUGUAAAGCUCUUUUACCCGGGAUGAUAAUGACAGUACCGGGAGAAUAAGCUCCGGCUAACUCCGUGCCAGCAGCCGCGGUAAUACGGAGGGAGCUAGCGUUGUUCGGAAUUACUGGGCGUAAAGCGCACGUAGGCGGCUAUUCAAGUCAGAGGUGAAAGCCCGGGGCUCAACCCCGGAACUGCCUUUGAAACUAGAUAGCUUGAAUCCAGGAGAGGUGAGUGGAAUUCCGAGUGUAGAGGUGAAAUUCGUAGAUAUUCGGAAGAACACCAGUGG